ACCAAAUCAAGUCCUGACCCAGUCCUCUCCCUUAGCUGCCACCGCUGCCGUGAGCCUGCCGGUCGGCGGUACAAGCCCAUGGCACCGCCACCUGUUCCUCCUGAUCUUCUCCUCUGCUGUCUUCUGCUGCUCCAAGGCUCCUCCCCAGGAUGCGGGUCUGCUCCUCUGCCGACGGCUGCUGCUCUUGCUGGAUGCUGGUUUACGGGGAAGAGUAAGGCCAUGCCAUUGUAGGAAAUUGCACAGGCAGCAUCAUCUGAAGAAAAAAGAAAAACAACUCAGGCAACAGAGCUAGGAGGGGAUUUCGAAGACCACCUGCAAUUGCGGCGUACCUCCCGGCGGCGCGCUUCCCCGGAGGCGGUAUAGGCGGCUCGUACGGCAGUCCGGACUCUCCUCCAUGGGAAGAAGUGCAGCUGCGUGCGUCCGGCUAGAGACUGUCACCACACCGGCGUGAGCCUAUCCCCGUGUUCCACAGGGGACGCGUAGGGCGGGCGGGGCGGGCGCGGGUGCCGGCGGUGCAGGGCGGCCUCCCUUGCAGGCUACGAUGGCGAUCUUGUAAGGGGGCGGGCGGCACCUGGAUUUCUGCGGCAGCGAGCGGAUGGUUCAAUUCUACGCCCCGAUUAGUACUGGUGAUUACUUGCCAUAUUAUGCCUAAUUGAAUAUAGAGGAAGGAAAUGUCAUUAUGGUUAAUUAAAUGAGAAUAAUUUGAUUGAUCCUGUCAUAUGCUGGAAGGAGUGGGAAAGAUCGAACGAAGCAGAGACCUCAGAUUGGAUCGAACGGUUCAGAUGCUCUGAAUCUCCUUCACCAAACGUGUUGUAUGACGUACGACCAACUCCAAUAUAAUAGUAAAGAUCCCCUAAUACUCUCCCUGAUUCAUUUGUUUUUAGCUCCAAUUCACGUGGAGUUCACGGUGAUGGUACAAAUCAAUAACGGAGUAAGCUUUUA
This is a long non-coding RNA of Lolium perenne, 942 nucleotides long. RefSeq lists it as uncharacterized. The record is from RefSeq and is a predicted model, not a curated record. NCBI's taxonomy places the organism in Eukaryota, Viridiplantae, Streptophyta, Magnoliopsida, Poales, Poaceae.